GCUCAGAACGAACGCUGGCGGCAGGCUUAACACAUGCAAGUCGAACGCCCCGCAAGGGGAGUGGCAGACGGGUGAGUAACGCGUGGGAAUCUACCGUACCCUACGGAAUAACGCAUGGAAACGUGUGCUAAUACCGUAUACGCCCUACGGGGGAAAGAUUUAUCGGGGUAUGAUGAGCCCGCGUUGGAUUAGCUAGUUGGUGGGGUAAAGGCCUACCAAGGCGACGAUCCAUAGCUGGUCUGAGAGGAUGAUCAGCCACAUUGGGACUGAGACACGGCCCAAACUCCUACGGGAGGCAGCAGUGGGGAAUAUUGGACAAUGGGCGCAAGCCUGAUCCAGCCAUGCCGCGUGAGUGAUGAAGGUCUUAGGAUUGUAAAGCUCUUUCACCGAUGAAGAUAAUGACGGUAGUCGAGAAG
Molecule: ribosomal RNA, 416 nt
Filed under: Rhizobiaceae bacterium BAS305i
Lineage: Bacteria; Pseudomonadati; Pseudomonadota; Alphaproteobacteria; Hyphomicrobiales; Rhizobiaceae
Description: bacterial SSU rRNA
Rfam family: Bacterial small subunit ribosomal RNA
Source: RNAcentral